This 599-nucleotide unclassified non-coding RNA is filed under the name Hevea brasiliensis (rubber tree). The record is from RNAcentral. Lineage: Eukaryota; Viridiplantae; Streptophyta; Magnoliopsida; Malpighiales; Euphorbiaceae.
UUUUUUUUUUUUUUUUUUGCUGCCUAGCUUGGAUCUCUUAGAUAGUUAAAUGCUUUUUGGGUGUUUUGUAAUUCUUGGGGCUGCGGGGGGUAAAUAAGUAUUUUUCUUUUGAGUUAUCAUGCCCCAUUUGACCUAAUAUCCUGCAAGUGGCAACGUAACAUGUGCAGCAUGUUAUUUGGUCCCAUGUUGCAAACGGUAGAACAGUGAUUUUGAUGUACAAUUCUUCUAAUAUGAUGUGACGGUUAUCUAUGCUACCGAGUGGUUUUGUGGCAGUUCAUAGAAAUUGGAGGUUUCAAUCUGUUAAGUGAUCUACUUACGUAGUAGAUGCAUUGCUUGAUGUGUAUUGGAUUAUCUGAAGCGUAUUAAUUAGCUGGAGUUCUUAUGGAUCUGUCUAUAUUAGUGUGGACAAACUGACAAUACAAUCCAUUGAAUGCAUUUUGAAUUUGAAUUUUCGAUCACCCGUCUCCCUCAGCCAUGCAGCAGUCAAAAGCCGCAAAGCAGGAAAGGCAGGAACGGAGAUUGGCGCUAUGGUGGAGGAAGGAGAAUAACAGAGGAAAAUAUUUUUUAUUUUCUAUUCUUUAAUUUUUUUUCUUUUUUUG